CGUACGCACUGGCCCACUGAUUGAUGGUGCUUGCACCUGAUUGACGAUGGAUCACCAGUGAGUGGCGGACGGGUGAGUAACACGUAGGUAACCUGCCCCGGAGCGGGGGAUAACAUUUGGAAACAGAUGCUAAUACCGCAUAACAACAAAAGCUGCAUGGCUUUUGUUUGAAAGAUGGCUUUGGCUAUCACUCUGGGAUGGACCUGCGGUGCAUUAGCUAGUUGGUAAGGUAACGGCUUACCAAGGCGAUGAUGCAUAGCCGAGUUGAGAGACUGAUCGGCCACAAUGGAACUGAGACACGGUCCAUACUCCUACGGGAGGCAGCAGUAGGGAAUCUUCCACAAUGGGCGCAAGCCUGAUGGAGCAACACCGCGUGAGUGAAGAAGGGUUUCGGCUCGUAAAGCUCUGUUGUUGGAGAAGAACGUGCGUGAGAGUAACUGUUCACGCAGUGACGGUAUCCAACCAGAAAGUCACGGCUAACUACGUGCCAGCAGCCGCGGUAAUACGUAGGUGGCAAGCGUUAUCCGGAUUUAUUGGGCGUAAAGCGAGCGCAGGCGGUUGCUUAGGUCUGAUGUGAAAGCCUUCGGCUUAACCGAAGAAGUGCAUCGGAAACCGGGCGACUUGAGUGCAGAAGAGGACAGUGGAACUCCAUGUGUAGCGGUGGAAUGCGUAGAUAUAUGGAAGAACACCAGUGGCGAAGGCGGCUGUCUGGUCUGCAACUGACGCUGAGGCUCGAAAGCAUGGGUAGCGAACAGGAUUAGAUACCCUGGUAGUCCAUGCC
RNAcentral lists this ribosomal RNA (781 nucleotides) under uncultured bacterium. Its description in RNAcentral is "bacterial SSU rRNA". It matches the Rfam family "Bacterial small subunit ribosomal RNA", at positions 50 to 801 of the family's 1533-position model. The record is from RNAcentral.